Molecule: ribosomal RNA, 253 nt
Filed under: uncultured bacterium
Lineage: Bacteria
Description: partial 16S ribosomal RNA
Rfam family: Bacterial small subunit ribosomal RNA
Source: RNAcentral
UACAGAGGGUGCGAGCGUUAAUCGGAAUUACUGGGCGUAAAGCGUGCGUAGACGGUUAUUUAAGUCGGGUGUGAAAGCCCCGGGCUCAACCUGGGAAUUGCAUUCGAGACUGAAUAGCUAGGGUACGGUAGAGGGAAGUGGAAUUUCCGGUGUAGCGGUGAAAUGUGUAGAGAUCGGGAGGAACACCGGUGGCGAAGGCGGGACUCUGGGCCUACCCUGACGCUGAGGCGCGAAGGCGUGGGGAGCAAACGGG